CAAUAGCGUAUAUUAAAGUUGUUGCAGUUAAAAAGCUCGUAGUUGGAUUUGUGGCGUACGGUGUGUUCCGGGCACUUGUUGUCUGAGUAACCUGCUGUUGCCAUCCUUGGGUGGAACCUGUGUGGCAUUAGGUUGUCGUGCAGGGGAUGCCCAUCAUUUACUGUGAAAAAAUUAGAGUGUUCAAAGCAGGCUUAUGCCGUUGAAUAUAUUAGCAUGGAAUAAUGAGAUAGGACUUUUUUGCUAUUUUGUUGGUUUGCGCAAAGAGGUAAUGAUUAAUAGGGACAGUUGGGGGUAUUCGCAUUCCAUAGUCAGAGGUGAAAUUCUUGGAUUUUUGGAAGACGAACUACUGCGAAAGCAUUUACCAAGGAUGUUUUCAUUAA
RNAcentral lists this ribosomal RNA (380 nucleotides) under uncultured eukaryote. RNAcentral's name for it is "partial 18S ribosomal RNA". It matches the Rfam family "Eukaryotic small subunit ribosomal RNA", at positions 592 to 976 of the family's 1831-position model. The record is from RNAcentral.